Salvelinus namaycush (lake trout) is the source of this 368-nucleotide long non-coding RNA. RefSeq lists it as uncharacterized. The record is from RefSeq and is a predicted model, not a curated record. The transcript is spliced from 4 exons. Lineage: Eukaryota; Metazoa; Chordata; Actinopteri; Salmoniformes; Salmonidae.
CUGUUUAGUCAUACAGGGUGUGUCUCUGUUCACUCGCAGCGGACUCGUUUUUCCACUCUUUCUACCGGUUCCUCUCUCUUCCUCUCCCUCUCGUUACUGUGAGCUCCGGUGCAGACUCGACCUCCUCCGACAGAACGAUCUUUCUUCUAAUCAAACCAACGAUCAACUAUCUAUCAGAAUGGCUGGUCGAGGCAGUGUGAGAGCCAGUGGAAACUUCAACGCCAACCAAGAUGCAGCGACACUCUACAAGGCCAUGAAGGGACUGGGAACCGAUGAGGAUUCCAUCAUGAAGUUGUUGACGUCUCGUAGCAACAGCCAGAGACAGCAGAUCAAAGCUGCAUACAAGACCCUGCAUGGCAAGGUCAGAA